This 349-nucleotide ribosomal RNA is filed under the name Haminoeidae sp. 3 TRO-2019. Its description in RNAcentral is "partial small subunit ribosomal RNA". The record is from RNAcentral. Lineage: Eukaryota; Metazoa; Mollusca; Gastropoda; Cephalaspidea; Haminoeidae.
ACCCCACUAUGCUCUAGAACGGAAUGCCCUAAGCACUAUUGCCUCAAGGCCGAAACUUAAAGAACAUGGCGGCAAACUUAAAUUUCAGAGGAACCUGCCAGGUAAGUGAUAACCCGCAUAUAAUCUUACUUUAACUAAAAGCCUAUAUGUCGCCGUCUAGAAAUCUCUUAAGAAGGUUUCAGUAAACAAUAAGACAGGUCAAGACAUAGCCUAUGUUAAAGAGCAAGGUGGGUUACAAUGAAAAAUUUUGUAGUACGGAAUAAUCUUAAAAUAAGCUUAGAAAGGAGGAUUUGAAAGUAAUCUUUAACAGUAAUACCAGAUGAAUUUUAUUGAGUUUGUGCACACACCG